CUGAGGGACGCGUUCGGGUCAAUUGCGGACUGCAACACCCGAUCUCUCUCCACACGCCUCCCGGACGGGAGCUGUCGGAGGGGGAGCGCGCAACCAUCAG
Molecule: non-coding RNA, 100 nt
Filed under: unclassified sequences
Description: L4-Archaeoglobi ribosomal protein leader
Rfam family: L4-Archaeoglobi ribosomal protein leades
Source: RNAcentral